This 253-nucleotide ribosomal RNA is filed under the name uncultured bacterium. RNAcentral's name for it is "partial 16S ribosomal RNA". It matches the Rfam family "Bacterial small subunit ribosomal RNA", at positions 524 to 776 of the family's 1533-position model. The record is from RNAcentral.
UACGUAGGGUGCAAGCGUUGUCCGGAAUUAUUGGGCGUAAAGAGCUCGUAGGCGGUUUGUCGCGUCGAAUGUGAAAACCCGGGGCUCGACCCCGGGCCUGCAUUCGAUACGGGCAGACUAGAGUUCGGUAGGGGAGUCUGGAAUUCCUGGUGUAGCGGUGAAAUGCGCAGAUAUCAGGAGGAACACCGGUGGCGAAGGCGGGACUCUGGGCCGAUACUGACGCUGAGGAGCGAAAGCGUGGGGAGCAAACGGG